UGAUUUAGGGUUUCUGGGUGCCAAGGUGUUAUUAUUUUCAUCAGGAAACUGAAGUAGAGCAGGACCAGUCACACCCUGGAGGUGGAGGCAGGAGGCAUCUCAGGUAGGAUGACCCCAGACAGCGUCCUCUCACCUUUCACGUCCAGCUUUCCGUUCAAGUCCCAGCCCGAGGUCUGCCUUCUUCACAAAGCCUUUUCUUUCUUCACUAUGACAGGAAAACUACCAAAGGAAAUAAUUACAUUCCAAAAUUUCAGCCAAAAAGUAUCAACAGAAAUGAAUUGGCUGUUUUACGCAGGGGUUAUCCUAGACGUGUAAUGGCUAAUGCCAGGUGGCUUGGGGACGUUCUGUCCAGGAUGUGCUUCUAUCAUCCAGCUCAACGCAGAGGAUGCUCCAGAGUAGCCCUGAUGACACAGUAUCCUCUCUCCUCUGAAUCAGAGCCCUGACCGACGUGACAGGAUGAGGAAUUACCCAAGGAUGAAAUAACACUUUCCCCUUCGACUUUCAGAAUACUCUCCUCUAUCUAAAGUGAUGUUUCCCAGCUUAGUAAAAGGUUAUAAAUGGUGUAGGAAUGAAAAAAUCUUUGUCCUGGGCUGAGAUGGCUGAGAGAUGUAAAAGUGGCCAAGGGAAAUUCUGACCCGCUCAGACGCUGACAAUCACCAGAAAAGAAAAGGGGGUUAAUAGUCAUUUCCUGUUCUGUUUUAAAGAGGGCUUUAAAUAGACAAGUGAGAGCUAAAUUUAGCAAAUAUUUUCAGUGGGAAGGAUCCAUGAAGGAAGGCACAAAGGCCAUGUGAGGUUCUGCUGUGGAUACUUGCAUCAGCAACAGGGAAGUGGCCUUGAGCCUUAGGCCAAUCCUGUGCCCAGAGUUGCUAUAUAAGCCCCCACCCCAGCAGGAGGCGGCAUCAGACCCUCCUCACCUCCUGAGUCUCCGUCCUCCCCUCUCCUGAGUCCUCUCUGCUGACACUAUGGGCUGCUGUGGUUGUGGUGGCUGCGGUGGUGGCUGCGGUUGUGGUGGCUGCGGUGGUGGCUGUGGCUGUGGCGGCUGCGGUGGUGGCUGCGGCGGUGGCUGUGGCGGCUGUGACAGCUGCACCUCGUACAGGUGCUCCCGGGGCGGCUCCUGCUGCGGCUGCUGU
This is a non-coding RNA of Vicugna pacos (alpaca), 1130 nucleotides long. NCBI's taxonomy places the organism in Eukaryota, Metazoa, Chordata, Mammalia, Artiodactyla, Camelidae. The record is from RefSeq and is a predicted model, not a curated record.